This is an RNA transcript of Malania oleifera, 1276 nucleotides long. RefSeq lists it as uncharacterized. The transcript is spliced from 7 exons. Lineage: Eukaryota; Viridiplantae; Streptophyta; Magnoliopsida; Santalales; Ximeniaceae. The record is from RefSeq and is a predicted model, not a curated record.
UCUGCGGCCUCGUGGCUCUGGCUCAUCUGAAGCUUAAUUCACCCCGCACACCCACUGUGAUUCCGUCGCACCACCGCAACAUCGCGCGGCUUCGGUUGAUUUCUCCUUUCCUACUCUCCAAAUCUUCGGAAUCCCAACCUUUCUCCGCUAGCCCGAGGCCACCGUGCCCAUUUGCGGUGUCGCCGUUGCUCCCGCGCAUGCAUUAAUGCAGCGUCCUUUGCCUUUGGUGCCACCGCGAUGCCUCCAUGGCCGCCGGAGCCUGGUCGAACCCAACCCAAUCUCUCCUCGGCGAUCUGCGUCUUUGUGGCUUUAACCGGAAUCCCGGAUGUUUUUGCAUUGGGCAACCUUAAAUCAAACGGAUGUUCAAAAACAUUGUUUUCGGCUGCGAACACAGCAACUCCGGUGCCUUUGCUGGCCAGGAGAUGGGGGCGUUUGGGCUGGGCGGGGGGCCAGCGUCGUUUAUCAACCAGGCGGGGCCCUUUUUUGGAGGCGAGAUAGGCCGCCGGCAAUCUGGGUUCGACAGUCUAUCUGUGUUCGACGGUGUCAAGGCUCAAAUAUUUGGAGAAUUGCUGCCUUACCUUAAACACAGAAUUUUUCGCCGAUCGUUGACGGAAUUGGGAAACGGAAGCUACCAUGAGGAUUGUGGAAGGAUUCUCUACAACUUCUACGGAUCGGAAUCUUGUUUCGGAGAUUUUCGGGUUUUAGCGUAAAAUCGAGGUUUUGGAAUUCGGUUCGCUGUUUAGGGACCUUGGAGUUCGAGAUUUGCUUACGGGGUUAAGGUCCUUCGGGUAACCGGAACUAGCGUCCUGGUGUAGGGAGCGUAGUGGCCGGUGUACUGCGUUAGCGCUUGGGUGGUCAUUUGGUGCUAUUAUGUAUGAAAUGCUUGUUGGGCACCCACCUUUUAUUCUGAUGAUCCUAUGUCAACAUGUAGGAAGGAGGCCUAAACUGGCUUGAGCUACACAAUGGGAGGUAGCUAUCUACCAUCCCAUAUCCCUGUCAAUCCUCCCAGAUUUGUGCAUCCGAUCUCCCAUGUGAAAGCUUCAAGUUUUAUUUUUUUAAAAUUAUUUUAUUGUCUUUCUCCAGUACAUUGGAAUUUAUUGUAAGUAUAUUUUAAUGAAGAUCUCUGUAUCUUGCUUCUUUGAUGUCUUUUUGAUCUUUUAGUCACUUUAAUAUUUAAAGGAUACUAGAUUUGUUUGUUCUUUGGUUUAUGUAAUGGAAAGAAAGCUGGAAGUAGAAUAUGGAAUUUGAAGAUGAAUGUUGAUUUUAACCUUUCAAA